RNAcentral lists this small RNA (28 nucleotides) under Bombyx mori (domestic silkworm). RNAcentral describes it as "ovarian small RNA-3315". Lineage: Eukaryota; Metazoa; Arthropoda; Insecta; Lepidoptera; Bombycidae. The record is from RNAcentral.
UCCAGGUUACCCACCGUGCCGCUUAGGG